Molecule: non-coding RNA, 21 nt
Filed under: Aedes albopictus (Asian tiger mosquito)
Lineage: Eukaryota; Metazoa; Arthropoda; Insecta; Diptera; Culicidae
Source: RNAcentral
UCACCUUGCACGCGUCUGACA